This is a long non-coding RNA of Oncorhynchus gorbuscha (pink salmon), 246 nucleotides long. RefSeq lists it as uncharacterized. Lineage: Eukaryota; Metazoa; Chordata; Actinopteri; Salmoniformes; Salmonidae. The record is from RefSeq and is a predicted model, not a curated record. The transcript has 3 exons.
CCGACUGAAGGGAUGACGACUAACGUUACCAAAAGAAAUAAAUGCUGAUAGGCUACUGCUGGACCCUUGGUUUGAGGCGAACUCUGUCAUAUCCAGGAUGAAGUGUCAUGCACUCCACCCCUCCUGCCACUCGACUGCACCUGUACGUACAUGAAGAAAGAACCUCACCCAGAGACCUGGGAAUGUCGGACCUGAGCCCUAGGACCAUGCCCCAGGACUACCUGACAUGAUGACUCCUUGCUGUCC